UACGUAGGAGGCAAGCGUUGUCCGGAUUUACUGGGCGUAAAGGGCUCGCAGGCGGUUCACUAAGUCUGACGUGAAAUCUCCCGGCUUAACUGGGAGGGUGCAUUGGAAACUGGCGAACUUGAGGGCAUCAGAGGAGAGUGGAAUUCCCGGUGUAGUGGUGAAAUGCGUAGAUAUCGGGAGGAACACCAGUGGCGAAGGCGACUACCUGGCCUGUUUCUUGACGCUGAGGCGCGAAAGCUAGGGGAGCAAACGGG
RNAcentral lists this ribosomal RNA (254 nucleotides) under uncultured bacterium. RNAcentral's name for it is "partial 16S ribosomal RNA". It matches the Rfam family "Bacterial small subunit ribosomal RNA", at positions 524 to 776 of the family's 1533-position model. The record is from RNAcentral.